RNAcentral lists this ribosomal RNA (468 nucleotides) under uncultured bacterium. RNAcentral describes it as "partial 16S ribosomal RNA". It matches the Rfam family "Bacterial small subunit ribosomal RNA", at positions 28 to 507 of the family's 1533-position model. The record is from RNAcentral.
GACGAACGCUGGCGGCGUGCUUAACACAUGCAAGUCGAACGGAAAGGCCCUGCUUUUGUGGGGUGCUCGAGUGGCGAACGGGUGAGUAACACGUGAGUAACCUGCCCUUGACUUUGGGAUAACUUCAGGAAACUGGGGCUAAUACCGGAUAGGAGCUCCUGCUGCAUGGUGGGGGUUGGAAAGUUUCGGCGGUUGGGGAUGGACUCGCGGCUUAUCAGCUUGUUGGUGGGGUAGUGGCUUACCAAGGCUUUGACGGGUAGCCGGCCUGAGAGGGUGACCGGUGACAUUGGGACUGAGAUACGGCCCAGACUGCUACGGGAGGCAGCAGUGGGGAAUAUUGCACAAUGGGCGGAAGCCUGAUGCAGCAACGCCGCGUGCGGGAUGACGGCCUUCGGGUUGUAAACCGCUUUCGCCUGUGACGAAGCGUGAGUGACGGUAAUGGGUAAAGAAGCACCGGCUAACUACGUG